ACUCCUACGGGAGGCAGCAGUGGGGAAUAUUGCACAAUGGGGGAAACCCUGAUGCAGCCAUGCCGCGUGUGUGAAGAAGGCCUUCGGGUUGUAAAGCACUUUCAGUUGUGAGGAAAGGUUAGUCGCUAAUAUCGGCUAGCUGUGACGUUAGCAACAGAAGAAGCACCGGCUAACUCCGUGCCAGCAGCCGCGGUAAUACGGAGGCGCAAGCGUUACUCGGAAUCACUGGGCGUAAAGAGCGUGUAGGCGGAUCGAUAAGUCAGGAGUGAAAUCCUAUGGCUCAACCAUAGAACUGCUCUUGAAACUGUCAAUCUAGAGUAUGGGAGAGGUAGAUGGAAUUUCUGGUGUAGGGGUAAAAUCCGUAGAGAUCAGAAGGAAUACCGAUUGCGAAGGCGAUCUACUGGAACAUAACUGACGCUGAGAC
RNAcentral lists this ribosomal RNA (424 nucleotides) under uncultured bacterium. RNAcentral describes it as "bacterial SSU rRNA". It matches the Rfam family "Bacterial small subunit ribosomal RNA", at positions 335 to 752 of the family's 1533-position model. The record is from RNAcentral.